GCCAGGUGUGGUGGCAGGCACCUGUAGUCCUAGCUACUCAGGAGGCUGAGGCAGGAGAAUCGCUUGAGCCCCAGACUUCUGGGCUGUAGUGCACCAUGUCAAUCUGGCAUCUGUACUAAAUUUCAUGGCAAUAUAGUGACCUCCCAGGAGGGAUGGACACUCAGGUUGCCUAAGGAGGGGUGAACUGACCCAGGUAGGAAAUACAGAAGGUCAAAACUCCAGUGCUGAUCAGUGGUGGAAUUACACCUGUGAAUAGCCAUUGCACUCCAACUUGAGCAACAGAGCAAGACCCUGUCUCU
Unclassified non-coding RNA from Aotus nancymaae (Ma's night monkey), 299 nucleotides. It matches the Rfam family "Metazoan signal recognition particle RNA". From Rfam's summary of the family: The signal recognition particle (SRP) is a universally conserved ribonucleoprotein. It is involved in the co-translational targeting of proteins to membranes. NCBI's taxonomy places the organism in Eukaryota, Metazoa, Chordata, Mammalia, Primates, Aotidae. The record is from Ensembl.